This 409-nucleotide ribosomal RNA is filed under the name uncultured bacterium. RNAcentral describes it as "bacterial SSU rRNA". It matches the Rfam family "Bacterial small subunit ribosomal RNA", at positions 370 to 772 of the family's 1533-position model. The record is from RNAcentral.
AAUGGGCGCAAGCCUGAUCCAGCAAUGCCGCGUGUGUGAAGAAGGCCUGCGGGUUGUAAAGCACUUUCAGUGGGGAAGAACGGAUGCGGGCCAAUACCCCGGAUCACUGACGUUACCCACAGAAGAAGCACCGGCUAACUCCGUGCCAGCAGCCGCGGUAAUACGAAGGGUGCAAGCGUUAAUCGGAAUUACUGGGCGUAAAGCGUGCGUAGGCGGUUAAUUAAGUCAGAUGUGAAAGCCCCGGGCGUAACCUGGAACUGCAUUUGAUACUGGUUAACUAGAGUUGAGUAGAGGAGAGUGGAAUUUCAGGUGUAGCGGUGAAAUGCGUAGAUAUCUGAAGGAACACCAGUGGCGAAGGCGACUCUCUGGACUCAAACUGACGCUGAGGUACGAAAGCGUGGGUAGCAAA